GGCCUGGUGGUGUAACGGCUAACACUUCUGCUUCAUAUAUGGAUGACACUGCAAAGUUAAGCAGAAGUUCCUUCAAUCCUUGUUCGAGUCAAGGCCAGGUCA
This is a non-coding RNA of Mycena crocata, 102 nucleotides long. Lineage: Eukaryota; Fungi; Basidiomycota; Agaricomycetes; Agaricales; Mycenaceae. The record is from the annotation of a GenBank genome assembly.